UAUGUAGGGUGCGAGCGUUAAUCGGAAUUACUGGGCGUAAAGCGUGCGCAGGCGGUUUCGUAAGACAGAUGUGAAAUUCCCGGGCUUAACCUGGGAACUGCGUUUGUGACUGCGAGAAUCGAGUGUGGCAGAGGGGGGUGGAAUUCCACGUGUAGCAGUGAAAUGCGUAGAGAUGUGGAGGAACACCGAUGGCGAAGGCAGCCCCCUGGGUUGACACUGACGCUCAUGCAAGAAAGCGUGGGUAGCAAACAGG
RNAcentral lists this ribosomal RNA (253 nucleotides) under uncultured bacterium. RNAcentral's name for it is "partial 16S ribosomal RNA". It matches the Rfam family "Bacterial small subunit ribosomal RNA", at positions 524 to 776 of the family's 1533-position model. The record is from RNAcentral.